CCUACGGGAGGCAGCAGUGGGGAAUAUUGGGCAAUGGGCGCAAGCCUGACCCAGCAACGCCGCGUGAAGGAAGAAGGCUUUCGGGUUGUAAACUUCUUUUGACAGGGAAGAGUAGAAGACGGUACCUGUCGAAUAGGCCACGGCUAACUACGUGCCAGCAGCCGCGGUAAUACGUAGGUGGCAAGCGUUGUCCGGAUUUACUGGGUGUAAAGGGCGUGUAGCCGGGUUGACAAGUCAGAUGUGAAAUCCUGCGGCUUAACCGCAGAACUGCAUUUGAAACUGUUGAUCUUGAGUACUGGAGAGGCAGACGGAAUUCCUAGUGUAGCGGUGAAAUGCGUAGAUAUUAGGAGGAACACCAGUGGCGAAGGCAGUCUGCUGGACAGCAACUGACGGUGAGGCGCGAAAGCGUGGGGAGCAAACAGGAUUAGAUACCCCGGUAGUC
Molecule: ribosomal RNA, 442 nt
Filed under: uncultured bacterium
Lineage: Bacteria
Description: partial 16S ribosomal RNA
Rfam family: Bacterial small subunit ribosomal RNA
Source: RNAcentral